UACAGAGGGUGCGAGCGUUAAUCGGAAUUACUGGGCGUAAAGCGCACGUAGGUGGCGACGUAAGUCGGGUGUGAAAGCCCCGGGCUCAACCUGGGAAUUGCAUUCGAGACUGCAUUGCUGGAGUACGGAAGAGGAGGGCGGAAUUCCCGGUGUAGCGGUGAAAUGCGUAGAUAUCGGGAGGAACAUCAGUGGCGAAGGCGGCCCUCUGAUCCAGUACUGACACUCAAGUGCGAAAGCGUGGGGAGCAAACAGG
RNAcentral lists this ribosomal RNA (253 nucleotides) under uncultured bacterium. Its description in RNAcentral is "partial 16S ribosomal RNA". It matches the Rfam family "Bacterial small subunit ribosomal RNA", at positions 524 to 776 of the family's 1533-position model. The record is from RNAcentral.